GCCUACGGGGGGCAGCAGUGGGGAAUAUUGCACAAUGGGGGAAACCCUGAUCCAGCGACGCCGCGUGAGUGAAGAAGUAUUUCGGUAUGUAAAGCUCUGUCAGCAGGGAAGAAAGAAAUGACGGUACCUGACCAAGAAGCCCCGGCUAACUACGUGCCAGCAGCCGCGGUAAUACGUAGGGGGCAAGCGUUAUCCGGAAUUACUGGGUGUAAAGGGAGCGUAGACGGUGAUGCAAGUCUGGAGUGAAAGGCGGGGGCCCAACCCCCGGACUGCUCUGGAAGCUGUGUAACUUGAGGGCAGGAGAG
Molecule: ribosomal RNA, 305 nt
Filed under: uncultured bacterium
Lineage: Bacteria
Description: bacterial SSU rRNA
Rfam family: Bacterial small subunit ribosomal RNA
Source: RNAcentral